Molecule: ribosomal RNA, 425 nt
Filed under: uncultured bacterium
Lineage: Bacteria
Description: partial 16S ribosomal RNA
Rfam family: Bacterial small subunit ribosomal RNA
Source: RNAcentral
GUGGGGAAUAUUGGGCAAUGGGCGAAAGCCUGACCCAGCAACGCCGCGUGAAGGAAGAAGGUCUUCGGAUCGUAAACUUCUAUCCUUGGUGAAGAUAAUGACGGUAGCCAAGAAGGAAGCCCCGGCUAACUACGUGCCAGCAGCCGCGGUAAUACGUAGGGGGCAAGCGUUGUCCGGAAUGAUUGGGCGUAAAGGGCGCGUAGGCGGCCCGGUAAGUCUGAAGUGAAAGUACUGCUUUUAAGGUGGGAAUUGCUUUGGAUACUGUCGGGCUUGAGUGCAGGAGAGGUAAGCGGAAUUCCCGGUGUAGCGGUGAAAUGCGUAGAGAUCGGGAGGAACACCAGUGGCGAAGGCGGCUUACUGGACUGUAACUGACGCUGAGGCGCGAAAGUGUGGGGAGCAAACAGGAUUAGAAACCCGGGUAGUCC